Molecule: long non-coding RNA, 4084 nt
Organism: Bos taurus (domestic cattle)
Lineage: Eukaryota; Metazoa; Chordata; Mammalia; Artiodactyla; Bovidae
Source: Ensembl
GACGGCAAGCAAAUGUUUUCUCCUUUGGUGCCCCUGAGGCCGUUAUCCAUGCAGAGGUGUCUGGAGGGGCCGAGGGAGGGCUCCCCGAGGAGGUGGUGUGAGAGAGGAGGGGGUAAGUGGCAGGGCAGUGGAAGCAAGGUCCCUGGGGUGGGAGAGCCCACUGUGCAGGCUCAUUUUGGUUUGGGGAGUUGGGUAUGGCCCUUGCAGUAAUCCAGGGGAGAUGUGGCAACUUUGACCAGUGGAAGAGGUGACAGGGUCCCAGAAGGUGGAGACCAGCAGACAGACUAGAGAUCUGGCUGUAGGCUCUGUGGAGCCAUGCUUGGGGACUUUAGCAACUGGAAAAAAGAAGAAAGAAGGCAGCCAAGUGCAGGAGCUGGCCCAGAGGGAAGCCAGGAGUUGGGUUUUUGAUGCGUUUGGUUGGAGACAGCCAUCAGGUGGAGAUGGAGAGCUUCCUGGUGGACGUGUAUCUCUAGUUCGGGAGAGAGGGCUGGGUCAAAGGCGUAACGGGAAAUCAUGUUUUUCCCUUUAAGAAACCCAAAAAGCAGUGUGGUACUCAGAGCCCCAUGCAGGAAGAGCUGGGAUGUCCUCGCUCGGAGCUCGCCAGUUCCUAGUUCAUUUUGAAGCUACUUUUAUAGGGUUCCAAACUCUUUGGAUCACAGGACCCCUUUUCCCAAACAAAAGCCUCAGGCAGAACCCCAAUGGAGAAAACAGAGAAAGUAGAAUCGCUGUAUUCAAAGUCAGGCAGGAUACAGGGUGUGGCCCCCACUACCUGAGUGGGUAGAAAACUGCUGAUAUAUAUGUCUCAUGAAGCAUUGGCUUCCCUGGUGGCUCAGAUGGUUAAGAGUCUGCCUGCAAUGUGGGAGACGGGGAUUCAAUCCCUGGGUCGUGAAGAUGCUCUGGAGAAGGAAAUGUCAACCCACUUCAGUUUUCUUGCUUGGAAAAUCCCAUAUGGAGGAGCUUGGCGGGCUACAAUCCAUGGGGUCGAAAAGAGUCAUACAGGACUGAGCAACUAACACUUCGGUGAAUCAUAGAAUACAGGCUUCUGUGGCAUGAGUGCUAAGUUACUUCUGCUGCUGCUGCUGCUAAAUCGAUUCAGUCGUGUCCGACUCUGUGCGACCCCAUAGACGGCAGCCCACCAGGCUCCGCCGUCCCUGGGAUUCUCCAGGCAAGAACACUGGAGUGGGUUGCCAUACCCUCCUCCAGGGGAUCUUUCUGACCCAGGGGUUGAACCCACGUCUUCUGUGGUUCCUGCCUUGCAAGUGGAUUCUUUACCACUGAACCACUGGAAAACCCCUUCCGUGGUACACGAGAUGAUUUUAGGCAGUCCAUGAGCUUUUAUUUUUUUUAACUUACGGGUUUAUUUUCACAUGUAUGUUACAAUUAGGAAUACACAGCUAGCUCAUCAAGCCAAUGGUUUUGCUAAACUGUAAGGAGCAGGUUAAAAAAAAAAAGUGAGUUUGUAUAAAGAAAAUCCUUAAGAACAUGAAUGUGAUAUAAAGAAGUGGUAGAGAAGGAACAUGAGUGACCUAAACCAGGAGUUUGUACACUGCAGCCCGUGGACCAGAUCAAGCUGCUGCCUGUUUCUGUAAAUAAAGUUUUAUUGUCACACAGCCACACCCAUUGGCUUCCAGAUGGUCUAGACUGCCUUCCUGCUGAUUCGGUAGAACUGAGUAGUUAUUAAUACAACAGAGACUGUAUGGCCUGAAAAGCCCAAAAUAUUUACUCUCUGGCCCUCUACGUCAAGUUUGUCUGAUCUAAAGCAAGCCCUUCCAAUCUUACAGCUCAGCAAGCCAGCGCCAGAGAGGGCCGGUGGCUUCCCCAAGGUCACACCGCAGCAUUGCUCCCCAUUCUGUGCCUUUCUCAUCCUGCCGCCUCUGCCCAGACCCCUCCAGGCUCUCCAGGCUGGAACCCACCUCUGCUGCUUACCUACAGCACAACUUUGAGCUUGCUCCUCGACCUCUCUGAACCUGUCUUCUCAUCCAUGAACUGAGAGCGACAGCCCUACGACUCCCGAGGUUGAGAGAAUCAAACGGCUUUCAUGAAAACGAUCCUCUGGGGCUGCGGUGCCCCAUCCUUGGGCUCAGGCCAACAGCAAACAUUUCUCUGUGGUCGUGCAGAUUUCUGGAUGGCAGCUGCUCCUUCCUUCCCUGGGAACUGUCAGGAGCCCUUCCCUUCUCCUGGUCCCCCCAGAAGAUUCCAGGCCAUGAUGCUUCCACCACCUUGCACAUCUGGGUGUUGCACCGCAACACAGGGCUGAGUCUCGUCUGAGAUGAGGCAGAUGAGGAAACAGGCUUGAGGACUGAAGGAAUACUCCAGGAAGGUGCUGGAACAAGGCAGGUCUCCUUCCCUCCAGGCAUCUACACUGGCCACUGCCCCACAGUCAAAGUUUUGACUGCUUGGAAGAAGGAAGGAUGCUUGAGAAGUGGUGGGCCACAGAAGACAUAGCCUAAAACACUGGUUCCUUUAAUGAUUCUCAAACUGGAUUCCCCAGAGGAGCUAGGAUGUGCGGCUCCUCCUGCUCCAGGAUUUCUACUCUUGAGUUUCACGCCCAGCUCUUGUGGAAUAAACAUGUCACCGCAACAGUUUUGAGCUGCAAGACCUUCUGUAGACCCUGAGAUGCUUAGCCAGCUUCUCCUGGUGCUCAGCUGAAGAACAGGAGCCAGAUAGGAAUAUAGCCAGCUGUGGUGACCUUGAAGACAAACGGUGUAGCAGUUAGAGUAUAUGUUCCCUUGUUGUGACAAACCCCAAAAUCCACGGUUUUAAAGCAGAUGGAGGCUGACUUAAGGAAGCUGUCUUCUCAUCUCCACCAUGCUGUGCUCAGUCGCUCAGUUGAGUCCGACUCUUUGCGACCCCGUGGACUAUAGCCCGCCAAGCUGCUCUCUGUCCAUGGGAUUCUCCAGGCAAGAAUAGAGGGAUUCUCUACCUGUCCACGGGAUUCUCUAUCUGUCCAUGGGAUUCUCCAAGCAAGAAUAGAUUCUCCAGGCAAGAAUGGAGUGGGUUGCCAUUUCCUCCUCCAGGGGAUCUUCCCAACCCAAGAAUCAAACCAGGAUCGCCUGUGUCAGCAGGUGGAUUCUUUACCACUUGGCCACCUGGGAAGCCCCUUGGCCAUCCUAUGUAUGGCUGAAUUUGCUCCUCACCAUGUCUUCUCACAAGACUUUCAGGCGAUUCCUGGCCAGGAACCAAAAGCAGAAUCAUCCCAUUCACCAGUGGAUUCGAAUGAAUACUGGUAAUAAAACCAGGCACGACCCCAAGAGAAGACACUGGAGAAGAACCAGGCUGGGUCUACAAGGAGCCUCGCAUAUGAAGUGACACCCAUGUAUGUGGUGUCGAGGUCGCUUGUGUCUGAUCACACCACAGUAGAGAGAACGUCACUACUGUCUGAACAGGCACGUGUGUCUUAUGGGACAGGUGGGAAGGCUGUUUCUCUUGUCAGUGUUGCUCAACGAGGGUUUUGGCUUAGUGAUAGACAUGUGAGAGCUUUUGUUGAGGAAAAAAAAAAAAAGGAAGCCUUCGAGAGCUUGUCCGCAAGUGUGGGGUUCCCACCAAGUCACUGACCUUAAAUUGAACUCAUGUAAACUAAUGCUACUACUAACUACUACCAAGUCGCUUCAGUCGUGUCCAACUCUGUGCGACCCCACAGAGGGCAGCCCACCAGGCUCCCCCGCCCCUGGGAUUCUCCAGGCAAGAACGCUGGAGUGGGUUGCCAUUGCCUUCUCCAAUGCGUGAAAGUGAAAAGUGAAAGGGAAGUCACUCAGUCGUGUCCGACUCUUAGCGACCCCAUGGACUGCAGCCCACCAGGCUCCUCCAUCCAUGGGAUUUUCCAGGCAAGAGUACUGGAGUGGGGUGCCAUUGUACCAGGGUUUAAAUUCACUUAUGUUUAUAAUCACAUCACGUUGGUUCAUACAUAUAUUUUGGAAUCAUGUCAUGAGAAUUUAUUAUGUGUCAAUUCAUCAAAGACGAACAUGCCUGUUCGGGCUGAAGUAUUUCCAUGCUACCAAGUCAACGUCAGUGUGUGGAAUUAUGUUUUUGCUUGUUUUUUGUUUAAAGCCUUUAAUUAAUCUUUAAAAAUUGUUCUAUAAUAAAU